This 63-nucleotide microRNA precursor is filed under the name Pristionchus pacificus. RNAcentral's name for it is "mir-8364 microRNA precursor family". It matches the Rfam family "mir-8364 microRNA precursor family". Lineage: Eukaryota; Metazoa; Nematoda; Chromadorea; Rhabditida; Neodiplogasteridae. The record is from Rfam by way of RNAcentral.
UCUUCAUUUCACGCUCCCUCUCACCAGUCAGAGAGGCGAGAGAGAGAGUGUGAAAUGAAGAGA